ACUAUCCAUUAUCUGGAGAACACAAAUUUAUAUCACAGACUCUUCAAUUAAGAGAGAGAGAUAGAGUGAGCGACGAGAUAUAGAGAGAAAGAGAGAGAGAGAGAGAGAGAGAGAGAGAGUUUGUUCGAUUCUUCUAGUGGCGGCGACAUGAAGAAGAAGAAGUCAAGAGGAGUUUUGGGUGAAAACGCAAACCGGUGUUGUGUGUUCGAUUUCGGACGAUGAUGGAUGAUUCACACUCAGAUUUUUUCGGAGGAUGAAGUUUGUGUAAGAUCCAGAACACCAAACAUGGUGUCCGGCCGGCGUGUAUCAAACUGUUCGAUUGUUAAAAUCGAAUCUACAGUUUGAUGUAUUCCCCAUUCUGAUUCAGCAAAUUCAAAGCCAAAACAACAAGUCAGAGGUGGUGAAACGAAACAGGUGUGUGUGUUCCAACCAUGACGAUGUUGACUCAGAUCUUUGUCAAGGACAGAACCAAGUAUACUCAGAUAUAUAUGAUGCUUUUCCUUCCCCUUCAUGUUAAGGAUUGAUACUGAAUUAUGGACCCAAAUGAUGGCAACAAAAUCUGAAUUAUGAAUUAUGCUUCUUCUUAUUGGUCUGUGCUACUGAAGUGUUAGGGAUUAUGACUCAGACAAUGGAAUACCCCUCUAUUUGCUCUGUGCAACAGAAGUAGAACUCGACAAGGAACCAGAAUUGUCUCAAGCCAAAGGCAGUAAUCAUAAAAUUGUAUAAGGGAAACGAGUGUUAACUACCAAUCUGAUUCAUCAAAAUCAAAGCCAUCAAAAGAAAAAAAACUAGAUGGUGGAAAAUCAAGACAUGUGUGCCAAUUAUUGUUUCCAUGGCGUUUCUUCUUCUUCAACUUUCUCUCAUCUGAUUUGAUCGACCAACUAAAGUGAUGAUCGGAGGAGCCGGAUGAUGGCGUUUCUUCUUCUGAUUUGACCGACCGCCAAGUACAGGUCAGAGAGAUGGAUUGAAGAAUGAAGAAGAAGAAUACUCAAGUCUGCUUUAUCUCAGAGAGAUGGAUUGAAGAGUGCAGAAGAAGAAGACUUAAGCAGACUGCUUAAGUGAUCCUAAUGGAAGUUUUAUGAAGACACUCUGAAUUUUGAGUUACUACUGUACGUGGGCUUUCAUCAUCUCCUCCAUGGCAACAUUUGAAGGUCUGAUUGACAACUAAUGUUUUGCUGCGACAUUUUGGUUUCUACUCCCUUGUCUUGU
Molecule: non-coding RNA, 1209 nt
Organism: Camelina sativa (false flax)
Lineage: Eukaryota; Viridiplantae; Streptophyta; Magnoliopsida; Brassicales; Brassicaceae
Source: RefSeq, a predicted model, not a curated record